UGCGUAGGCGGUUCCCUAAGUUUGGUGUGAAAUCUCCCGGCUUAACCGGGAGGGUGCGCCGAAAACUGGGGGGCUAGAGUGCGGGAGGGGAGAGUGGAAUUCCUGGUGUAGCGGUGAAAUGCGUAGAGAUCAGGAGGAACACCUGCGGUGUAAACGGCUCUCUGGACCGUAACUGACGCUGAGGCACGAAAGCGUGGGGAGCAAACAGGAUUAGAUACCCUGGUAGUCCACGCCCUAAACGAUGCAUAUUUGGUGUAGGUCAUUCAGUUGAUCUGUGCCGGAGCUAACGCGUUAAAUAUGCCGCCUGGGGAGUACAGUCGCAAGGCUGAA
This 330-nucleotide ribosomal RNA is filed under the name uncultured bacterium. RNAcentral's name for it is "bacterial SSU rRNA". It matches the Rfam family "Bacterial small subunit ribosomal RNA", at positions 568 to 898 of the family's 1533-position model. The record is from RNAcentral.